RNAcentral lists this long non-coding RNA (296 nucleotides) under Brassica napus (rape). RNAcentral describes it as "long non-coding RNA (BNAP_LNC017402)". Lineage: Eukaryota; Viridiplantae; Streptophyta; Magnoliopsida; Brassicales; Brassicaceae. The record is from RNAcentral.
CGGGAACUGGAUCCCAUUGCUCCCAAAUAUUUUCCUCAACCUUAGAAAUUGCAAAAUCUCUGUCUUUCUCGGCCAUACACCCGGUCUGCCUUGCAUACUUGCCUGUGAAGGAGUAGUCAAGAAGCUGCGUAAGAUACAAACCACCCAUGGUUCCACGAUACUCGCGAUAAUCCGCGAGUGUCUUGUAACGCCCCUUGAGCUCUCCAAACUUUUGCGAGAACUUAUCACAACGUUUCUUCAUAACUUCGACCACCUCUCUCUUCCCUCGCCUAUAGGCAUGGUUGAACUCCCUCUCA